Molecule: ribosomal RNA, 530 nt
Filed under: Candidozyma haemuli
Lineage: Eukaryota; Fungi; Ascomycota; Pichiomycetes; Serinales; Metschnikowiaceae
Description: eukaryotic LSU rRNA
Rfam family: Eukaryotic large subunit ribosomal RNA
Source: RNAcentral
AAGCGGAGGAAAAGAAACCAACAGGGAUUGCCUCAGUAACGGCGAGUGAAGCGGCAAGAGCUCAACUUUGGAAUCGCUCCGGCGAGUUGUAGUCUGGAGGCGGCCGGUCCGCCUUGCGCAACCAAAUCUAAGUCCUCUGGAACGAGGCGCUUGAAAGGGUGACAGCCCCGUGGAUUUUUGUUGUUGUGCUUGGCCCCUGGUCUGCCGACGAGUCGAGUUGUUUGGGAAUGCAGCUCUAAGUGGGUGGUAAAUUCCAUCUAAAGCUAAAUACCGGCGAGAGACCGAUAGCGAACAAGUACAGUAAUGGAAAGAUGAAAAGCACUUUGAAAAGAGAGUGAAACAGUACGUGAAAUUGUUGAAAGGGAAGGGCUUGCAGCUAGACAACUGUCAGCAUCGGGUGGAGCGGAACUAAAAGUGGGAGCUGAUGUAGCAACCCCCCCGGGGUUGCAUUAUACAACUCUCAGAUGGUUCCUGCUUCGCCCGAGGAUCGCCUAUUUGAAGGAUGCUGGCGCAAUGUCUGCAAGCCACCC